RNAcentral lists this non-coding RNA (23 nucleotides) under Cricetulus griseus (Chinese hamster). Lineage: Eukaryota; Metazoa; Chordata; Mammalia; Rodentia; Cricetidae. The record is from RNAcentral.
AGGAGGACCAGGAGCUGAAGGCC